RNAcentral lists this unclassified non-coding RNA (1160 nucleotides) under Hevea brasiliensis (rubber tree). The record is from RNAcentral. Lineage: Eukaryota; Viridiplantae; Streptophyta; Magnoliopsida; Malpighiales; Euphorbiaceae.
CAAUGGCGCCACCGGUGGCGAUUCGGGGGCGCACAGUCGUAUCAGUUUUUAUUAUGUCAUUCUUCAUCCUUCCAUCAGCUGCCAUAUACUGCGAUGAAGACGAUUGCUAUGAUCUGCUAGGGGUUUCUCAAAACGCCAAUGCUUCAGAGAUAAAAAAAGCAUACUACAAACUCUCAUUGAAAUAUCACCCAGACAAAAACCCGGAUCCGGAGUCCAGAAAACUGUUUGUGAAAAUCGCAAAUGCUUAUGAGAUUCUGAAGGAUGAAGCUACUCGGGAGCAGUAUGAUUAUGCAAUUGCACAUCCAGAGGAGGUAUUUUACAAUACAGCUCGUUACUAUCACGCAUAUUAUGGUCAUAAAACGGAUCCUCAAUAUGUCCUGGUUGGUCUUCUUCUGAUUCUCUCGGGAUUUCAAUAUCUGAAUCAGUGGACAAGGUAUAAUCAGGCUGUAGCCAUGGUCAAGAAGACACCUGCUUACAAAAAUAGGUUACGAGCACUGGAACUUGAACGCAGUGGAGGAACUACAACCAAGAAGAAGGGUAGCAAGCAGAUGGACAAGAAAGUGGAGGAAGAUCUCAGCAAAGAACUUGAACUGGACAUAAAGGGAGCUCAAAAACCUGUCAUCUGGGAACUUAUUGGUGUUCGAUUUAUCCUCUUACCUUACACUAUAGGCAAGCUGCUAUUGUGGCAUGGCUGCUGGUUCUGGAGAUACAAAGUGAAAAAGGCUCCAUAUUCUUGGGAGGAUGCAUCCUACCUAACGCAAAGGUCCCUGAGAGUGCCUCUUGAUGCAUGGAGAAGUGUUGAUGAAUCAAUGAAGGAUGAUCUUGUUCAGAGACGAUUGUGGGAGAAGUCCAACUUAGAGAGGUACCUCGCAGAAGUGCGCAAAGAAUCUAAGCGCAGAAGAUAGCAGAUUUUGCUGCUAUGCUUUCUCAUGUUCUUCAAAUCCUGACAACAUGAUUGUUUUCGGUAGAAGUUGAACGAUAUAUUAGAGUUCACCCAUAUUGAAAUAAAAAAUAGGUGAUUUCUUUAGUUGAUUUAUAUCCGAAGGCAGAGCAAAGAUUGUUGUUGCCAUUUACCAAUUAUAUACCUGUAAACAUAUAUGAAAUUUUGAGGACGAGCAUAUUAUGGGUGCUGUUGCAUUCACAUUGCACACUUUGGUGGC